GUGUUUGCUUCAGCAGCACAUACACUAAAAUAGGAACAAUACAGAUAAGAUUCGCAUAGUCCCUGCGCAAAAAUGGCAUGCAAAUUUGUGAAACAUUCCAUAUUUUU
Molecule: small nuclear RNA, 107 nt
Organism: Cebus imitator (Panamanian white-faced capuchin)
Lineage: Eukaryota; Metazoa; Chordata; Mammalia; Primates; Cebidae
Source: Ensembl